GACAGAGGGCGCAAACGUUGUUCGGAUUUACUGGGCGUAAAGCGCGUGUAGGCGGCUUCGUAAGUUGGAUGUGAAAUCCCACGGCUCAACCGUGGACGUGCAUCCAAAACUACGUCGCUGGAGUCUCGGAGAGGAAGGUGGAAUGCUUGGUGUAGAGGUGAAAUUCGUAGAUAUCAAGCAGAACACCUGCGGCGAAGGCGGCCUUCUGGACGAUGACUGACGCUGAGACGCGAAAGCGUGGGGAGCAAACAGG
This 253-nucleotide ribosomal RNA is filed under the name uncultured bacterium. RNAcentral's name for it is "partial 16S ribosomal RNA". It matches the Rfam family "Bacterial small subunit ribosomal RNA", at positions 524 to 776 of the family's 1533-position model. The record is from RNAcentral.